Molecule: ribosomal RNA, 466 nt
Filed under: uncultured bacterium
Lineage: Bacteria
Description: partial 16S ribosomal RNA
Rfam family: Bacterial small subunit ribosomal RNA
Source: RNAcentral
GAUGAACGCUGGCGGCGUGCUUAACACAUGCAAGUCGAACGAUGAAGCCCAGCUUGCUGGGUGGAUUAGUGGCGAACGGGUGAGUAACACGUGAGUAACCUGCCCUUGACUCUGGGAUAAGCCUGGGAAACUGGGUCUAAUACUGGAUAUGACUUCUCAUCGCAUGGUGGGGGGUGGAAAGAUUUAUUGGUCUUGGAUGGACUCGCGGCCUAUCAGCUUGUUGGUGAGGUAAUGGCUCACCAAGGCGACGACGGGUAGCCGGCCUGAGAGGGUGACCGGCCACACUGGGACUGAGACGCGGCCCAGACUCCUACGGAAGGCAGCAGUGGGGAAUAUUGCACAAUGGGCGCAAGCCUGAUGCAGCGACGCCGCGUGAGGGAUGACGGCCUUCGGGUUGUAAACCUCUUUCAGUAGGGAAGAAGCGAGAGUGACGGUACCUGCAGAAGAAGCGCCGGCUAACUACGUG